RNAcentral lists this long non-coding RNA (911 nucleotides) under Homo sapiens (human). RNAcentral describes it as "ETS2 antisense RNA 1". Lineage: Eukaryota; Metazoa; Chordata; Mammalia; Primates; Hominidae. The record is from RNAcentral.
GGGAGCUUCUUCCUUCUUUCUUCUCCCUUCUUUCUUGCCUGUUAAACUCUCUGCUUCUUAAAACCACUCCAUGUAUGUCCAGGUCAUUUUAUCUAAUUUGGAGACGGAGAACCCUGGUGUUCCUCUGCUCAUCAGAGCCGUCUCACCUGCAAGGGCCAGGAUCCAGCACUAGGGCUGCCCUUUAUGUUCAUGCAGCCUCCACUAGGAAGAUCCUCCUUAGCUGCCACCUGCUGUAAAGGGAUCUAUCUAUCUAUCUGUCUAUCUAUCUAUCUAUCUAUCUUUCUAUCUACCUGUCGAGAGAGAGAGAGGUUUAUUAUAAGGAAUUGACUCAUGUGAUUAUGGAGGCUGAGAAGUUCCACAGUCUGCUGUCUGCAAGCUGGAGACCCAGGAAGGCUGCUGGUGCCGUUCCAGUUUGAUUCUGAAGGCCUGAGAACCAGAACUGAUGGUAUGAGUUCUAGUCCAAGUCCACAGAAAUGAAACUGGAGAACCAAAGGUCCCACUCAACAUGAAGAUGACAAGGAUGAAGACCUUUAUGAUGAUCCAUUCCCACUUACUGAAUAAUAUCAAGCAUUUUAUUCAACUAUGGAAUGGAAGCAACAGAUUACAGCAGCAUUAACAAGACCUGGGAUACCAUCACCAAUCAAAAUCAUGGAUAUUUCAUAGCACAAGAACGUUGUUUCAGAAUCUCAAAGUACUCCUCCUACUCAACAUGACUUUGAAAUUGCAAUAGUUGUUAGAACGGUCACUGCAGUUUGAUAUAUGAUGUGUUUACAAAGAGGCACAUAUAUUGCUCUUUCAGAAUUAUAACUCUGUAUGCAUUUCAAUGUAAUUGGUUUCCUUUGUCAUCUUCUGAAUUUUAUGUAUUUAAAAAUAUUAUUCUGAUGUUAAUACACAACAAAGAAAGGAUAGAA